UCUUCAAGGAAAGGAGGACUGCGGCUUUUCAAGUUCUCAAAAAUCGGAAAGAGAGUUUAAACACCCAAUUCCUGCAUCUUCUCUGCCGCAGCAAAUUGGUGUUCCUACCAGCUCUUUAACUCAAGUUGUUCAUUCAGCUGGAAGACAGUUUAUAGUAAGUCCUGUUCCAGACAGUCGAUUACGAGAGUCAAAAAUUUUCACCAGUGAAAUAUUAGAUACGGUUGCUGCCUGCACGUCUCAGGGCCCUGGAAUGAACUUGUCGCACUCUGCUUCAUCUCUUAGUCUACAGCAGGCCUUCUCCCAACUUAGACAUGCCCAGAUGACAG
Long non-coding RNA from Ochotona curzoniae (black-lipped pika), 326 nucleotides. RefSeq lists it as uncharacterized. Lineage: Eukaryota; Metazoa; Chordata; Mammalia; Lagomorpha; Ochotonidae. The transcript has 4 exons. The record is from RefSeq and is a predicted model, not a curated record.